RNAcentral lists this ribosomal RNA (320 nucleotides) under uncultured eukaryote. Its description in RNAcentral is "partial 18S ribosomal RNA". It matches the Rfam family "Eukaryotic small subunit ribosomal RNA", at positions 1470 to 1796 of the family's 1831-position model. The record is from RNAcentral.
CCCCUAGAUGUUCUGGGCCGCACGCGCGCUACACUGAACAGUUCAACAAGUCUUAACCUUGGCCGAUAGGUCUGGGUAAUCUUUGAACGCUGUUCGUGAUUGGGAUAGACCUUUGCAAUUAUGGGUCUUCAACGAGGAAUUCCUAGUAAACGCAAGUCAUCAGCUUGCAUUGAUUACGUCCCUGCCCUUUGUACACACCGCCCGUCGCACCUACCGAUUGAAUGGUCCGGUGAAAUCUCGGGACGGCGGCUUGGUCGCUUGCGUCCGACUGCUGAAACUUGAUUAAACCAUAUCAUUUGGAGGAAGGUGAAGUCGUAACA